This 9356-nucleotide long non-coding RNA is filed under the name Marmota monax (woodchuck). The stretch from base 7693 to 7761 matches the Rfam family "tRNA". The record is from RNAcentral. Lineage: Eukaryota; Metazoa; Chordata; Mammalia; Rodentia; Sciuridae.
UGAGGGGGAGGCCGCAGUGCGGACAGAGGGGCCUUGUUCCUGAGGCUGCUCAGGGAAUUCAGCUCUGACAAAGGGCUGCUUGUAUGUGCGACGUGCCCACAGCCUGGUGGAGCAACUUCCAUCCCAGCGUCCCCCCAGCCAACAGGCGCAGGUGGGCCCUGUGGCCUCUGGCCCUGCCUCCCGUCUCCUAGGGUCCACACCGUGACCUGGCACUGGGCGGGUGAUAGGGUCAGUUGGCUGUGUGCAGCCUCCUGCCAGUCUAGGCCCAAGCCUAAUUCAGCCUCUGGGAACCUGGUUUUUCUGUCAGGAUGUUCCUUUAUGGGACUUUUCCUGCCUGGUUGGUAUGUGCUGGAGCAAUAGCCUACACCCGGGCUCUGACUCUGCCAGGGGCUCCUUGGCCUCUGGGGCUGUACACCCCGCUACUCCUCUUGGCCAGCCAUUGCUAGCAUGCCAUCUUCAGGAAUACUAGCUGGACGGGGUGGUGUCCAGCAGGUUGUGCCUGACUCUUGUGGACAUGGCCCUGAAGAGUCACAGGGCACUUGGAGUCCAGCCUCCUGGAGUCGCUUCCGGCCCUGCAGCUAUCUGCCGUUGUGCCCUGGGCCUGCACGUAGCAGCCAUAUGCAGCGAGGCCACUUCUGCUCCCUGCAUCUGGAGGAGGUGCUAACCCAGGACUCCCACUGGCCCUCCACAGCUUGAGUUUUGAAGCCUAAAGGCAGAUGUGGCGCCAGGCACCGCCUCUGCCUCCUUUGCUCUGCAGGUCCAAAGAGUCCAGUUAGGACCGCGGGCGUGUGUGUAUUGUGUGUGUGCGUGCGAGUAUGUGCGCGCUCGUGUGUGUGUGUGUGUGCAUUGUGUGGUGUGCCUGUGCACAUGACCACGGUGACCGUGGUAGCUCAGACCCUGGUUCUUCUAAGGAAGGGGCCUGCAGGGGGCCUGCCUGAGGGCCCAGGCGUACUCAGUGUGGUGGGUGGUCACUGGGGAGGCCUCUGGUGUUGGGUGCCAGCUCUUCCACACGGUGGCUAGAAACAGCCCUGCCGUGUGACUUGCCUGCUCUUCAUUCUGAGCUCCCACACAGGGUUAAAAUCAAGUGCUGGUGGGCCACGACUUCCUCAGGGGCCUCUGGAGGACCUGGGGGAGAGUCCCUUCCAGGUUCACAGGAGUUGUUGUUGACCUAGGCUGCUCUGGGAUCCCCGCCCAUGGCCCCCCAUCUCGGAGCAGGCCCUGAAGGCCAUCAGACACUCCUGUCCUCUCUGACUUUGAGAAGCUGGUAUGAACUUGCCCCCUGCCCUCGCUCCUCCAGAUAACCUUCCUGUCUUACCCAGGGACAACCAGGACCUGUAGGCACGCUUGGUCUGGCAUGUUGUGUGACUGGGAGUCCGUCUGAGGACGUGCAGUCUGAACCCCAGGUUCCCAUGAAGAGGCAGGUAUGUUCUUACAGGAAGCAGCAAGAGAGCAGCAGGGCAGCUUCCCGACACCUGCCUGUGUGGGAAAGCGUGAUCACUUUGACUCCAUCAAACGAAACUCCCAGACGCAGUGGCGUACACGCAAUCCCAUCAACUCCGGAGGCUGAGGCAGGAGGAUUGCAAGUUUGAGGAUAGCCUAGGCAACUUAGAGACCCUACCUCAAAAAACAGGACUGGGGGUGCUUAGGCUGUAGCUUAGUGGUAAAGCGCUUACCUCGUAUGCGUAAGGCACUGAGUUUGAUCCUCAGCACCACAUAAAAGUAAAUGAAGAUACUGUGUGUUCAUCUACAACUAAAAAAUAUACAUAAAGAUAUUUUAAAAAAAGGACUGGAGGCCAGGGCUGUGGCUCAGUGGUAGAGCGCUUGCCUAACAUUUGAGGCACUGGGAUCGAUCCUUAGCAUCACAUAAAAAUAAAUAAAAUAAAGGCGUUCUGUCCAUCUAUAUCUAACUAAAUGUAUAAAUAGAUACAUUAAAAACAUCACUGGAAGUGUAGGUCAGUGGUAGAGUGCUCCCCAGCUCAGUCCCUAGUACCCUGAGAAAUAAAAUCCUGGAAGCUUCUGUUUACUAGAAGACAACAUAACCCAGGGUGUAGCUGAGUGGCAGAGCGCUUGCCUAGCAUGUGUGGGGCACUGGGUUCCAUCCCUAGCGCCUCCAAAAAAAAAAAAAAAGAUAAAGAGCCAGGGUGGAGAAUUUACUUGCUAUGUUUAUGGCAGAUAAUUAGUGUCAGGACAAUAGGUGGGACCAUCAAGGGUGAAGAAGGUAAAUGUGCUAGAUGGGGUGGGUGCCAUAGAGCAGGGCCUAGGAGAGGCCAAGUGGGUGGCAGUGUCCACCUUCACUAGCAGUAGAAGGGGCUGAGCAUGGUCCUGGGCUGGUGAGGACUGGCACUGUGGCGGGGAGUGGAAGGACCUCAGCCUGCAGGCACACUCUGGAGAGUCAUGCUCAGUGUGCAGGGGCCCAGCAGUGUCCCCUGGCAGCAGUUCAUAGGGCUGCACAGGGACCGAGACGCUGAUGGCUAUGGGAAGCCCAGGGUGCGUACACAAGUGUAGCAGUGGAGAGCCUUCAUAGAAGGACGAGUCACAGUAAGACACAGGAGGACAUUAGAGAAGGUCAGCAGUAGGAUGCUGGCCUGGCAUGCUUGAGCCUUUGGGUUCAGUCCCCACACCCCGCCCCUGCACAGGGAAGGGUCUGGCAUUGACUGUCACCUCACCAUGGCAUAGGGUGGGAGACAGGCGCAGGGAAGUUCUCUGUGCAGGUGGCUCCCUGGACAUGGGUGUUUUGCUCCAUGACUUCAUGUGCGUUCCUGCUGUUUGUUGGGCGUGUCUCCUACAUUGUGAAGACAGACGGAUGGAGUGCAGCGUGCAGCCCUGUGCCCAGCCUGUGGUUUUAGUUGGUUCUGCCCAUUCUGUACUUGUGGCGUGGCAUGGGUCAACCUGGUCAGUGGGCAAGCCUGGUAGGCCCAUAGCCGAUCAGGACCAUGCCCUUCUGCUGCUGCACCAGCAUGUGGAUGCCCAAGGGGUGUCCCCUGUGUCCUGCUGACACCCAGCUUUGGCUGGGAAGCAGGAUGCCUAAGUGCCAUUGGGGAGUAACUCGGUUGGUUAGGCGUGGUGGGUUCUGUUUAAGCUCGGGAACCUGGCCUUUACUGCCUUGCCCUUGGGUCCAUACCCUGGGUCUUUGCGUGUGGUGGCGGUGGUGGCAGUGAGGUCUCCUGCCUGGCCUUUGGCCUUUGGCCUCUGGCCUCAUGGCUCUUUGUGCGUGCACAGUCCCGGCUCUCCUUUGCCCCACAGGAGCCCCAGGUUCGGAGCCUUCCCUGCUCUCUGGGUCGUGGGCACUGAGCUGCCCAUCCCCACCCUGCCUCUGGCUUCUCUGGUCCUCGGCUUUGCUCAUCCAUUUGGCCAGAAUUCUGAGUGGGAGGGGGCAGCACAGAGGCCCCAUAGCUCAUGCGCAGGAGGGAAGUCAAAACCCCACAAGCAAGUGCAGGGGACAGGGCAGUGGCAAGGGAGGUCAGAGGGCCUGUGCAGUGGGAAGCAGGUCCCUCAGAGGCCCAAGGAGGGUGGUGCAGGUGGGGGACAUGAGGACACUUGUUGGGGACAGUGGGCUGUGUGGGUCAGCGAGGCCUGGGUCUGGUCUUUGGAAUGAUCCCCUCUGCCUGGGGGAGGAGCCGUUCUGGGGCCCAGCAGAGGGCAGGGAGGGUGGCCCAGGGAAGCUCGGCUGGUGUUGUGAGCCAUCAUGGAUGAGCUCUGUUGGCCGUCUAGAGCUGGGCAGGCGGAGCAUGGGCACAGGCAGCCUAGGAACCCAGCUUUGGCAAGUUCACCUUGGCUUCUGAGUGGAGAUGUCUGGGUGGUGAGCUUGGAGCUGAAGAGCAGGAUGAGACCCCUGGGGCAUGGUGGGACCACGCUGGGCGUGGUGGGGCUAGGGCCCAAGUCAGAGGGUGAGCUCUGGUGCUCUGACUUGCAGCUGGAAGAGGAGCUUCAGUUAGCAAGAGGAGGGCAGAGGGACCAAGGGGCAGGUCAGGAGGGCUGGGGGAGGGCAGGUCUUGGAGGACAAGGAAGCUGAGGAUUGGCUCUUGUGUCCAGCAUCCUGGAGUGAGGUGGGAUGGGUGCCGGCCUGGUGGGCUCAGGAGAGGAGGAGAGUGUGCACCUCAGCUCCUCAGGUCUGCAGGGGAGGCCCAGAGAAGUGGGUGCUGACUGCAGGGAGCUGGAUCUGUCUUAGCCCAGUUGGCAGGACACGCAUCAUGAGGGAAGAAGCCUUUUGCUGUCGGGAGGCUGGGAGCAAGGGGACACGGGGGCAAGAUGUCUGCAAGUUUCCUGCAGAAGGACUGGGGAGGCAGGGUGAGCAGCCUCAGCACCUGCCAUGCAGCAGUCUGUACAUUCUGGGGUGUGGGGCCGCCCCGCGGUGGCUGGGGCUCUUUCACGUAUGAAAGUUGUGCUUGCAGGCUUGUCCUGUACUGUCACCAAGGGGCAGCCCCCCCCCCCCCAGCAUCAGUGAGGCCCCAGACAUCCAAGCUCCAAACAGAAAACAAAAACAAAACCCAGAAAAUAAAAAGACACUCAAUGCCAUGGUGAUCGCAACCAGCAGGAUGUGGGCUUUGAAGGGAGAGCUGUGUGGCCAGGCCACUGCCUGGGCACCAGGCUGUCAUGGGCCAUGCCUUGAAAGGCCCUGAGGUCAGGCAGGAGGGCGUCACUGGACCUCGUUUUAUAGUACCCAAGAAAUGUGCGGAGUGAGCUGUGGCCCUCGGAGAGCAGGAAGGACGGGCCCCAGAGGGAAAGCCCUGCUGAUUCCAGGCCCCAGGUUGCCGGAGGGGAGUUGGACAGAGCCCCAGAAUCCUGCUGACCUCCCCCAGUGAACCCUCCUGCGAGUGUGGCUGCCCACGCAGGCUGAGCAGCCGGCACUGACUCCCAGACCCUUGACAGACUCAUGCUGCUGGAGGUCACAGCCUGUCUGGGGAAGUGUGGGCAGCCUCAGAAGAGCCGUCCGCUCCUGCUCACCCCAAGGACAGGAUCAGCAAGCGGCCAGCACGUAGCGCCCAGGGCUGAGAGCUCCUACUGGGCAGAGUGGACAGCCAGUGUCUGUUGUGCACCAAUGGCCUCCACAUGGCCAGGCCUCCCUUUUGUGGUCUGAGCUUUCCACUGAGCCAGUCCUGCAUCAGUGAUAUGAGCUGAGUCACACGGGGGCAAUGGAGACCGGUACGGGUGUGGCCCCAGAGACCCUGGGUUGUGAGCUGGGUGCAGGGACGGCGGCGUGGGUGUGCUGCCUGCCCCACUUCAGGGAGUGGGAAAUGCAGCAGUGGGUGUCCCCCAUCCCCUCCUGGGGUCUGCCUGUUACAGCAGCUGGCUUUUACCCUGACUGGGCUCCCUGACCUUUCUCACAGUGCUCUUAGUGUCUCUAUUAGAGAGUUUUUCACUGUGCCCUUUCUUUUCAAAAGAGAUAUCUAACAGUCCUGUUUGUUUGUUAGGACCAAACAGCCCUAAGUAUUUAUGUCCUGGCAACUUAGUAGCAGUUUAGAUAUGAGAAAGACACUUAAAUUGUAAAGAACCUUUGCCCUUGAUUUAAUUCUUAAGUAGCUGUAACUGUUUGCUGAGAGGUUGUGCAGGUCUGUUAGGCUCUGCACACCUUUUUAACCAUAUCAGGUUGAACACCUUCACCCGUGUGUCCUGCUUCACAUUGAUUUUUGCCUGGUAUCUGCUUUUAUCUCAGGGGGGUUGUAAACCCAGCUUGGCAGAGACAUCAUCAAAAGGGAAGCUCUGUGUGCUCUUGAAUGGGUUGAGAGGAGUCCGACAGGCUGCGCACCCCUCAGAACUUUACGAUGCCUACAGCCCCCUCGAGGAUUCUGUGCGGCACAGGGUUCAGAACGGCAGCUACAGCUGGUCCCGUCUUUAAGCCUUCCCCUUCUGUUUCUGUCUAGUGUUGUGUCCUACGGUGACCUAAGGUGCCACCGUCCACACUGAGGCCAGCUCUUCUCUCUUCCAGCCAGCCCACCUCACCCGUGUCCAGCAGGGUGCAUGCACCUAGCUGUUUCCCAGAGUUGCUGCCUGCUGUCUCCAGUUCUCUGCCUCCAUGGAGAGCCCUGCUGGCAGGCAGCAGGAGCAGUGCUCUGGGCUGCAGACCCAGGACCGGCCAGCAGAGCCAGGCCCAUUGUCCUCCACCAGGCGUGGAAGGCACUGCUGCUGCGCCCCCUCCAGGUUUUCUGUGUCGGCAGGAUCGCGUCAGCUUGGUUUCUCUGACUGGUGAAUCUGAACAUCUUUUCAGCACGUGCUUAGUUUUUUGGGUUUCCUCUUCUGUAAAUGCCUGGUUGUAUCUUUUGACUUUUUUUGGGGGGGUGGGGGGGGUGAGGGAGUGGAUUGCUCUCUUUUAAAACUCGAUUUUCAGGAACUCUCUGAAAACCUGCGGUAGGAAGGCCCAGGGUCUGCACAUUAUGACUCUUCUCGCCUCUGUUCUGCGGCUGGCCAUCUGCCUGUGGUCUCCCAGGAGCUCUUCCUUCUGCUGUGCUCCAGUCCCUCUCUUCUGCCUCCUGUGUUGUCCUCCUGUCACCUUCUUGCAGUUGUGGCCUGUGAAUUCUGUGUGGCGCUGGGGCUGGAACAUGGGGCCUGAGUGUGCUGGGUGAGCCCUUUGCCACUGAGCUGUCCCCACUCCCACCUGUCACCUUUCCUCUAACCUUUAGGUGUUCAGUCCAGCCAUGUCCCUCCCUCGGGCAGCUCCUGGGAGUCCAGCUUCUUUCCAUACACAGAGUAGCUGACACCUAUCCUUUCCUCAUUGGACCCUGUUGUCACCUCCACUUUUGGCCCAUUUGUGGGGGUCUUGCUGUCCCCGUGGGCCUUGCCUGCCCCGAUGCCACACAGCCUGUGCCACAUUGUUCCCUGUGAGGGCUAGAUGGGGCAGUGGAACAGGGACACGUGGGGAAGGUGCGUGUGUCACUGCUGGUGUGGCGAGGUGCUGCGAGGGGGGCCUCCCUGGUGUUCCCGCUGCUCGUAGCAACUGGCCGCAGGGACGGUGGCCCCUGUCCUACAGGACAGUACCUCCUUCCCCAGAGGGAGUGAUGCUUGCCGGGUGCUCUUGAUACAUAACAAUCCAAGUAGAAAGUUUCCUUCCUCUCUUGAUUUCCUGAGUUUUUUUUUUUUUUUUAAUAAUUGUGAAUAUUGAAAGCUUUGUCUUAUUUAGGAUGUUUCUAUCAAUGUUUAAACUGAAACAGGCCUAUGAUUUUUUUUCUCUGUUUUAUUAGUAUUUCUUUUUGGAUUUUGGAAUCAAGGUCACAUGGGCCCCACUGUAGCCUCUGCAAUCUGUUUUCUGGAAUAAUUUGCUAAGGUAGGAAUUAACUGAUCUUUGAUAUUCAGUAGAAUCAUCCAGACCUGGGAGCUGUUAUUUAUUUUUAUCAUUAUUAUCUAAUUUCCUUAAUGCAUGCUCAAGAGCAAACUCUACAUUCUAAAAUACAUUUUUUUUUUUUUUUGUAUUUUAUGUGAAGAAUCUAAACAGUGGUUCAUGUAUCUACUUUUGCUGGUGAUUCUGCUCAUCAAGCUCCAUGUACUUGGAGGCUAAUUGUUCGGUGUUCACUUUUGGGAUGGAUACACUUUGUUGUUUCUUGGAGCUUUCUUUAAUUCAUGUUUGCUUGGUAUAUGCUAAUUUGUUCUUUCUUUUUCAAUCUUAAUGUGUCUUUUUUUAAAAAAAAAUUAUGUGUUUCUUCUAUAGCAUCUUGCUGACUUUUAGAAAAUUCUAACACAAAAAUGUUGUCUUAGUGGGCUGGGGCUGUAGCUCAGUGGUAGAACACUUGCCUAGCAUGCAUGAGGCACUGGGUUCGAUCUUCAGCACCACAUACAAAUAAAUAAAAUAAAGGCAUUCUGUCCAUCUACAACUACAAAAAAUUCAAAAAAAACCUUUUUGUCUUAGUGAAUUUACACAAACUGUAAUUAUCGUUAUAUUAGGACUUCUCUCUGCUAUUGUAUUUUUUUUUUUUUAUAUUUAUUUUUUAGUUAUUGGCGGAUACAACAUCUUCGUUUUGUAUGUGGUGCUGAGGAUCGAACCCGGGCCGCACGCAUGCCAGGCGAGCGCGCUACCGCUUGAGCCACAUCCCCAGCCCUCUGCUAUUGUAUUUUUUAAAUAUUUAUUUUUUAGUUGUAGUUGGACACAAUACCUUUAUUUAUUUAUUUUUAUGUGGUGCUGAGAAUCGGACUCAGGGCCAUGCAUGUGCUAGGCAAGCGCUCCACCACUGAGCCACAACCCCAGCCCUGCUAUUGUAUUUUGUUCUUUCAUUUUUCUUUCUUUUUUUAUUUUCCACUUUCCAUUGGAAAGAUGGAAUUUACUUCUGUUGACGUAGACAUUGUUAUGUUUUAUUUUUAUUCUGUCAUUGCUCUGGAUUUCAAAGCCAUUUUCAUGGUUAUUUUUGAACUUAUUACUAUUUCCACCUUUUCCUAACAAAAUAAGUGCUGUAGCACAGUCUCUUACCCUCAGGUUUCUGUCUCUUUUGAAAUGUCUCUUGGGCUCUAAUCUACUUGUAAUCUAUGACUUCCCAUGAGCUCUCACACUACUCAGCCUUCAGUGGUCAUCUGUGGUCGCCCUGGGUUGGUCAGUGUGGAGUUCCUAUAACAGAUUCCCGAGAUCAUCGGCCUGUGAGGAGGAAAGGUUUAUUUUGGUUCUUGGUUUUGGUGGCUUCAGCUCAUGGCCGGUUGGCCCACGUGGACUGGCCCCCUCGCUCUGGGCCCAUGCGGAAGGGGACGUCUUGGCACAGCCUGUGGCACAGCUGGCCUCAUGUCUGGGAUGUGAAAGAGAGGAAGAGGAGGGGCUGGGUCCCAGUAUCCACUUCAGGUAGCCCCCAGUGACCAGAAGACCCCCCAGGGCCCGCCUCUGAAGGCUGCACUGCAACAGCACCCCUUGGAGGAGAAAGCCUUUAGCAUGUGGGUCGUGCAGGUCUGGACUGCAGCAUUGGGGCGCAGCCCCUCUAGCAGGCAUGGGAGGCACCUCUUCAGUGUCCAACUCCUGCUGGGUCAGACACUGCAGUUCCCGAGAGCGCUCUGGAGAAGGUGGGCAGGAGGAGGUGGGGGAGCUGGUGUCUACUUCAUCGCCAAUGGGAGCAGGUCUGCAGAGCGCCCUGACUGUGAGGAGGUGGAGGAGGGUACUCAGGAGCAUCUGAAGAAUGCCCUCGCCUCCCUCAGCCUGCAGGCACGUGCCCCCCACCCCCCAGCCACUGCUUGCUGCCUGCUGCCACCAAGUCGGUAAUAAAGUGUCUAAAACCUCUCUGCCGAGUCCUCCAUGCUCUCUCUUUGAGACAGGAAAGCAGUGUGCUGGGACCCUGCAGCCCUGCGGCUGAACACAGCCAGCCUGUCCAGCCUUUGCCCUUUUUAUUCUCUUGCGGGCAGUGCUGGGGUGGAACCCAGGGCCUCUUGCAGUAGGAAAGCAGCCACCACUGAGC